Molecule: ribosomal RNA, 485 nt
Filed under: uncultured bacterium
Lineage: Bacteria
Description: bacterial SSU rRNA
Rfam family: Bacterial small subunit ribosomal RNA
Source: RNAcentral
GACGAUCGCUGGCGGCGUGCCUAACACAUGCAAGUCGAGCGGGGUCCAUCCGGUAGCAAUACCGGGGAAGACCUAGCGGCGAACGGGUGAGUAACACGUGAGAAACCCUGCCCCGAAGUCUGGGAUAACCCGAGGAAACUCGAGCUAAUACCGGAUGUCUUCUUCUGAUCGCAUGGUCGGAUGAAAGAAAGAUUUAUCGCUUCGGGAGGGUCUCGCGGCUAUCAGCUAGUUGGCGGGUAACGGCCCACCAAGGCGUCGACGGGUAGCUGGUCUGAGAGGACGAUCAGCCACACUGGGACUGAGACACGGCCCAGACUCCUACGGGAGGCAGCAGUGGGGAAUAUUGCGCAAUGGGCGAAAGCCUGACGCAGCAACGCCGCGUGCGGGAUGAAGGCCUUCGGGUUGUAACCGCUUCAGUGGGGACGAAUUCAGACGGUACCCACAGAAGAAGCCCCGGCCAACUACGUGCCAGCAGCCGCGGUAAU